Molecule: microRNA, 22 nt
Filed under: Eugenia uniflora (Surinam cherry)
Lineage: Eukaryota; Viridiplantae; Streptophyta; Magnoliopsida; Myrtales; Myrtaceae
Description: eun-miR10220-5p
Source: miRBase by way of RNAcentral
UGCUGUUCUUCCGUUCACGAAU